RNAcentral lists this ribosomal RNA (501 nucleotides) under uncultured bacterium. Its description in RNAcentral is "partial 16S ribosomal RNA". It matches the Rfam family "Bacterial small subunit ribosomal RNA", at positions 30 to 523 of the family's 1533-position model. The record is from RNAcentral.
AUUGAACGCUGGCGGCAGGCUUAACACAUGCAAGUCGAGCGGGGGAAGGUAGCUUGCUACCGGACCUAGCGGCGGACGGGUGAGUAAUGCUUAGGAAUCUGCCUAUUAGUGGGGGACAACAUCUCGAAAGGGAUGCUAAUACCGCAUACGUCCUACGGGAGAAAGCAGGGGAUCUUCGGACCUUGCGCUAAUAGAUGAGCCUAAGGCGGAUUAGCUAGUUGGUGGGGUAAAGGCCUACCAAGGCGACGAUCUGUAGCGGGUCUGAGAGGAUGAGCCGCCACACGGGGACUUAGACACGGCCCUGACUCCUACUGGAGGCAGCAGUGGGGAAUAUUGGACAAUGGGUGGAACCCUGAUCUAGCCAUGCCGCGUGUGUGAAGAAGGCCUUAUGGUUGUAAAGCACUUUAAGCGAGGAGGAGGCUACUUUAGUUAAUACCUAGUGAUAGUGGACGUUACUCGCAGAAUAAGCACCGGCUAACUCUGUGCCAGCCGCCGCGGUAA